UUCCAUCGGUUGGCUGCUGUUGGGUACUAGUACUACUGCUGGGUUCAUGCCAUCGCUCGAACUCCGCUCCGCAGCGCAUACUCUUCUCUCACCACUCUCUCUCUCUCUCUCUCUCUCUCUCUCUCUCUCUCUCUCUCUCUCUCUCUCUCUCUCUCUCUCUCUCUCUGCAAGCAAAGCGCGGCCGCGGACGCCAUGGACAACCCUCAGGCUGCGGCGGCGGCCAACAACGUGGUCAAUCCUCCGGCGGCGGGGGCUGCGGUAAUGUGCUUCACAUUCACACUCUUUCUGUCAAGAUAUAUCGACGCUGCUGCUUUUUCCUUGCUCAACUGCAUGGCUUGUGGGGGGCGGGAUGCCAUCAUUGCCACUGAUCUUCUCGAGUAACCCCUCCGUCUCAAAACAAGUGUCUCAGAUUUAGCAAUACAACUUUAAUACUCCCUUCAUAAAAAAUUAUAAAAAUGUUUAGAUCACUGUAAAUUUAUAGUGAAGUUGAGACACUUGUUUCAAGACAUACUGACUUGUCGCGCUGAACUGCAGCAGGCCAAUCCUCCGGCGGUGGCGGCGGCACCAGCCAACAACGUGGCCAAUCCUCAGGCGGUGGCAGCUGCGGCAGUGUGGAUCAACGUGGCCAACCCCCCGGCGGCACCAGAUGUGGUAAUUUCCCACAGAUUUGCAGCUUUACCAGUAUCCCCGCCCCGAUGAAUUGACUUGAGAUGGAACCUGUGGUCGCAUGCUCAACUGACUGCUGCAGGGAGCUCUGCUGCUGAUAGUUGGGCUCGUCUUGUUGGCGAUGGUGUUGCUGCUUAGGCUGGUGCUGGCGUGACUCUGAGUAGUACGACCUCAUCGUGUGCGCGGCUAAGGAGUACCACUACUACUUAUUACGUAUAAAACUAUAAAUUAUAACCUGCAUAUAUAUAGAGAGUUUGUUGUUCGUACCAUCUAUGAACUUCAUUGCGAACCAAGUUUCUCUGGGCCUGGAACAGCAUUCGACAUGCUUUUCCUCGUCUGAAUGAUCGACUAAAUAAAGCGGCAAGUUUGUAACCCCUGCUUCUACUUCAGGCUUGGAGAAUAACUCAGCAUGGUUUUACAGUUUGGAUUGUCGACAAGAUAAACCGACUUGUACUCAUGUGCGCAUGAAUUGUUUCUGAAGCAAAUCUACAGCUUGGUACUAUAUAUCAACUAUGACCUAUAUUGCAUUUUAUCCACGGAUGUGUAAAUGUAGCAAAUUUUGCUGAAAAGGCCUAGUGAAUAUAUAUAACAUUUCUUUGAGCGAAUCAUAAUGCCUAAUUAGCUACAAUGAGAAAUUUUGAGAGGGCCCCUCUUACCUCCGAGAGGUAAGAGGAUAAUUUAAUCCUAGCCGCUGGUUAAUUGAGGGCAAUUUGUCUAUAUAAAUAUGGUAAAUAUAACAAAAUAAAUGCGAAACAAUUUUCGACAAAUUUCGUGGUCUCUCUAUUUUCAAGAAGAGAUUUUGCCUCUAUCAAAAAAUGCAUACUUUCAUUUAUACCAUGUAUAUGUUCGUUGAAAUAGAACAUGGCAUACAUGUUUUUUCCUUGGAGCUACAGGUGUAUAAUACAUACUCCCUCCGUCCCAAAAUUCUUGUCUUAGAUUUGUCUAGAUACGGAUGUAUCUAAUAGUACUAAAAUGUGACUUGAUACAUCCGUAUUUAGACAAAUUGAAGACAAAAAAUUUGGGAUGGAGGGAGUAUUAAAGUACAAUUUUCUUAAUCUUAGGACAUUCCUUGGUUUUAAAAUUAGAAUCAUGUGAUAUAUCAUCAUGUCAAUGCCACUUCAACAUUCAUGUGGCACACAUGGUUAGCAACUCAAACUUGAUGAUUUUUUUAAUAUUAUUUAUACUUAAGUAUGCAUAUUGAUAGGUUGCAUGCUGAUGUAUUUCCAAUGUCAAAAAUAUGGUUUCUCUAAAUUAAGAUUGAUAUAUAAUCAACAUAUUCAUGUAUUUCAAAAAUUGGGUAUGCUAUAUUCAUAUCAUAUGUACUUCUCACAAAUGUCACAUCAUUUACAUAAAUAGUACUCCCUCCGUCCCAAAAUAAGUAGUAGUAUCUUUUUUAGUUGGAACCAAGUAAAAUUUCAGAUUGGUGUGCCGAGGGUGAACGUGCAACAGCUGCUUAAUUAGUGCUCACUCAAGUCACUCAUAUAAUCUGUACUGAUAGAUAUUGACAGAAAGAUUGUGAAAUUUAUUUCUUCUUCCUGGGUUGUUGAAGCUACGAGAGCCGAACUUCUUCUGAUGCUCAUAAAAAAAAGCUGGCGAGGGACGUUCAUAAACUUUAACCCGCUGAACCUCACUAGGAUUCAGAAAAACGCACGACGACCUGAUUAUUUGUGCCAAUAGAUCAGAACUUGGGGAGUGUGAAAACACAAUUCUGAAGAAAUUAAACUGAACUAGAUUGAAUUAUUAUUUUCUGUAUAAUAAUAUAGUCAGAGGUUACAAGGCGAAUUCGAUGGCACAGUUGAAUGAUACGGGUUCCAUUCUCAGGCAGUAUAAAGAGGUACAAAUAUCACAAGAUCAAUAAGUUUACAGUUCAUAUGUCCUGAACCAGGGCAUUGGUUUCCGAUAAAUCAAUUGAAUAAGUCUAUGAUUUGUCACACCCAUUAAAUUCCGUUUCUGGGGAUUUGGGAAGAGCCUCCUGUACAAGGCUCGCUGUAAGCUACAAGAACCCGCCUAGUGUGCCUAUCUACUCUUGCACUAACAUCACAACCCCCAUUGGAGAGGGAUUUCUAAAGACCAGCAAAGCUACAGAACCUCCUGAUUCCAUCAUCCAAUGGUGAAUAUUCCUUUCUUGAUUCCAUCACUGGAUGUACUAGAAUGGUGUUUGCUUUCAUCGUCCUCCGACGGAAGCGGCACACCGAAUACCCAGUCGAGGACAUUCAGGUACUUGGACCGGAAAACCUCCCUUUCCUGGGCAUAGCAGUGCAUAAUGAUCGAGGUGGCCAUGCUGAAAACCACUACAUCAGCUCGCUUGAUCUGCAAUAUUGGAGGGCAGAGUCCGGCGUCGGUCAUGCAUGUGAAGAAACUCUCGAUGGCUCUGGCAAGGCAGUACAGGGAUAUCUCGGUUCUCCUGCUUUUCUUCUCGAUAAACAGUGCCAGACCCGCCGGGAACUGCCACAUCAAAGCAAGUUAGUAUCUCAGAGAUGGUUAACUGGACUACGCUUAGUCCAUGCGGUGCGGUAAACUGUGUGUCUUCACUUACCGUGCCAAGUACAACGAGUGGAGUACUGCACUUCUCGAAGGUUCUAAAAAGGAAGCAUGUCCAAGCCCUAAAAUAGAGAAAGAAACAGCAUGAAUUGCUGUGCCAACAAGGGAGGUUGGCGCUACAUCCACAUUCUUGAUACGACAAGUUAGGGGUUAAAAUAAAAAGAACUCACCAUGCAGAUGCGCAAUACAUUGAGAGGAACAGGCUAGAUCUUGCUGUUCCUAGAAGACUCUUGCCCAUUAUUGUGUAAGGCCUGCAUGUUGUGAGGUCUUCAGCACACUUAAUGUUGUAGACACAUGUUAGGUGUAUCCAGCUAUGCUAGAGUUGUACCCAAUAAGGAGUCGUUGUCCUAGGGGUGAAGUUAUGUUUUUGCAAAAACUGCAGAAGGCAGCAUGACAGCUCCCGUAGAAUGCAAAUAGAUAACAUACCACGAAGAGCACUCGUUUUUUCAAUCUAGAUAGGACAUAAAUUUUUACGCUUUGAUACUUACACGAAGCACAAUUACCCUGAGGACAUCAAGCCCAAUUAAUGCAGGGCCUGCAUGUUUUUUGGCAGCAAAAAAAAAGCGCUCUUCACAAAUAUGAGCAACGUAACAUGUCAGUUUGCUUGAUACAGUUGUGUACCUUUUCAUCAGAUCCUGCCGAUGAACUACAAGUGCAGGGACUAGGUAGACUGGAAUAUAGACAGGAACUGCUCUUCCAUAUGCUUGUAACAAGAACGAAAUAAAAUGUCCUGCACAUGAUUGAUUACCAUGCACAAUCUGGUUUGAAGAGAGAAGAGAUUAGAUGAAGGAAAAGGUUUAGAUUAACAGAAGGAAUAAAAACAACAAAUGGUAGGAAUUAACAAGGAAAACUUCAACAAUUAUUCACAGCAAAAUGUUAUACCUGAAUGCUUGAUAGGAUACUAUAGUAUAUUAAUGUGAUGCAAUCAUGCGACACAACAUGUUAUAAACAAAGGAAAUUUUGACAGUUAUUCACAAAUUUGUAGUACUUACUGAGCAGGGCACUUUCAUGUCUGGAUCCAACUUUAUGUCAACACCAACAGAUUUGUAGUACUUCUCAAUAGCCUCUAGGUUAGAGAAAGCAGUGUGGUUAACUACUUCCUUCAAGCCUUGCAGAAUAGACUGAUCCUUUCCACCAUGCAUCUUCAGAAAUGAUUUAUAUGAUGACGGCAAACUGUCCUGCUGUAGAAUGUAUGCAGAUCUGCGGAAUCAACAAUAUAGGCAAAACUCACUAUUCCCACAUCCUAUUGAAUGUAUACCGCAAAAUAUAUAUAACAAAAUACUCACCAAUCACUGGUGCAUGAUGCCUAUAUGUUUUAAUAAUGUAACAAAUGGUUGAAGUUAUUUCAAACAAGAUAACAUGGGAAAUGCCCUUGAAUCUACAAAUGUAUCACAUUCUUACAUUUAUAUUCCAGUCCCUGUAAUGCACUCUAUGAUUCCAUGUCUCAAAUAUUUGGACUCGCAAAGCAAUUACAGUCCAACAAACACAUUCCUUUUACACAUUUUCUCAAAACUGACCCUAUUGUUGACUUGUGACUUUUGCCUAACAUCAAAAUAUUGUCUGCUCAUUUGAAUUGAAUACGAUGCAUUCCAAUGAGACAUUAGUGAACAACAUGAAAGAUAAAGCAUUGCCUUCUAGGUUUACAUGCUAUUUUUUUAUGAUAUAAAUAAAUAGCACAUCAUCUCAAAUUUCACUGAAGAAUGACACAACUGUUACGGAUCAAAUGUAGCUGCUAUUUUUGUUAACAAAGUAGCCCUUAUGUGUCACAAACAAGGUAUCUCAAGAGGAUUUUGAAAAUUCAGAGAAGUUGUCCGUACUACUUUGUAAUGCCAUGUGCAAAUAAUAUUUCCAGAAGUUAACAUACAAUGGUUCAAAAAUCUGUUAUGUGACCCUUUUUUACAAUAAUCAGUACUUGACCUGCAUAAAUUUGAAAUGCUAUACUAGUUUCAAGCGUUGGGUGUAGCGCAAUAGGGCCAUCAGACCCAAAUAACUCCAUACACUGCAUAUCAGUGUAUAUUAACAGGGCUAAGCGAUCUCUGUACAUAAUACAGUAAUAACAUUGGCAUAUACGAAAACGCAUACGAAUUCUGUCAAUGGAACUUACAAAAUUUGUGCAGAUGAAAGGCACAUAAGGAAGACAUCACCAUGUGACCAGGUCAAAGGUUUGCAAAUCUUUCCAAAUCUUUUGCUCUUUAUUCCACAACGGGAUGCAAGCACCGCAGCACGCAUGAGAAUGUAUAUUGCCAAACUGGUAUGCUGCGUGCCUGGCCCCGUCAAGAGCAUAGAAGGACCAGCAAUUAACCCAGAUAAUAAUGACCUCCACCUUGCUGUUCUGAAGCAACAAGAGUAUUGAGUUAUAUACUAUCCCAAAACAAACUCAUACAUUAAAGAAGGACAGUGUGGAAGAUAGAAUGGGACAGAAAACAAAUUGCAUUCUGUGAUAUAACCAAAGUUUAAAUGUGUAAUGCGUUUUGUAGCGGCCAACCCCCUUCAUAACUUUGUAACGCUUAUGUCGUAUUGUAAGGCGACUUCAUAGGCACAGCCUGGGAGUCCAUUCAGUGGUUUCAUGGCAUGUGUGUAGAAACCUGACUAAAGUCACUGAAAAUUGGAAAUGUGGGAUAUUUUCUUCUUUUUUAAUUAUUGGAAAACAAAAUAAAACCAAGUUUGCGACUUUUUGUUUGCAGGAUUCAAAAGUGAAGUUUGAAAGUUCUAGGUUGCAGUAUCCCAAGGGAAGUUUCGAAGUCCAAAAUCAUCCAAGCAACAUUUUAUGUUAGAAAGGGGAAUGAAAGAAGACCUUGCUAUGGUCCUUUCGGAAGCCGUAUUGAUUCAUCAUAACGAUGAUGAUUUAAGUUCAGACAGACUCACUAUACACUAUUGAGAUUGCGCUCAGGUGGUUGUAAGGAUCUUAUUUUGGGUUAGCAAGCAACAUUAUAUCUCCAGAUCACGCAGAGUUGCAUCAUUUGGUAUUUCCUAGCGUCAAUGGAAGUCCAAGAUUAGAAUUUAGCAGUCAAAUAUUACAAAUCUGUUUUGACGAUACCUCAGAGUUGCAAAAUGUUGGUCACUGAUCAGUACCAAUCUAAUACUACCUCCGUUCGGGUUUAUUAGGUCCGCUUAUAUUUUGGGUUAAACUUUGACCAUCGAUUUGAU
This 6354-nucleotide long non-coding RNA is filed under the name Triticum aestivum (bread wheat). RNAcentral's name for it is "long non-coding RNA (TAES_LNC003730)". The stretch from base 1568 to 1705 matches the Rfam family "MIR1120/MIR1122 microRNA precursor family". The record is from RNAcentral. Lineage: Eukaryota; Viridiplantae; Streptophyta; Magnoliopsida; Poales; Poaceae.